This is a small nuclear RNA of Myotis lucifugus (little brown bat), 106 nucleotides long. NCBI's taxonomy places the organism in Eukaryota, Metazoa, Chordata, Mammalia, Chiroptera, Vespertilionidae. The record is from Ensembl.
GUGCUGACCUGUGCAGCACAUAGUACACUAAGGAACGAUACAGAGAAGGUUAGUCUGGCCCCUGUGCAAGGAUGACAAACAAAUUCCUGAAGCGUUCCAUAUUUUU